RNAcentral lists this long non-coding RNA (157 nucleotides) under Mustela putorius furo (domestic ferret). Its description in RNAcentral is "lncRNA (ENSMPUG00000030516.1)". The record is from RNAcentral. Lineage: Eukaryota; Metazoa; Chordata; Mammalia; Carnivora; Mustelidae.
CAUGGAUUACUGUGUUCGACCAGGAAGACAGCAGUAUUGUGUGAAUUUCAUCUGGUCAGAGAAUAAAAUGAAAGCCAAUGGAAAGUCCCUGCCCCAGCUCACCACAGGGGACUUCCAGUGUUCCUCAAGGCUGGCUGAACCCAGAUGGCUGUGCUGA